GAUGAACGCUGGCGGCGUGCCUAAUACAUGCCAGUCGAGCGAACAGACGAGGAGCUUGCUCCUUCGACGUUAGCGGCGGACGGGUGAGUAACACGUAGGUAACCUACCUAUAAGACUGGGAUAACUUCGGGAAACCGGAGCUAAUACCGGAUAAUAUUUCGAACCGCAUGGUUCGAUAGUGAAAGAUGGCUUUGCUAUCACUUAUAGAUGGACCUGCGCCGUAUUAGCUAGUUGGUAAGGUAACGGCUUACCAAGGCAACGAUACGUAGCCGACCUGAGAGGGUGAUAGGCCACACUGGAACUGAGACACGGUCCAGACUCCUACGGGAGGCAGCAGUAGGGAAUCUUCCGCAAUGGGCGAAAGCCUGACGGAGCAACGCCGCGUGAGUGAUGAAGGUCUUCGGAUCGUAAAACUCUGUUAUUAGGGAAGAACAAACGUGUAAGUAACUGUGCACGUCUUGACGGUACCUAAUCAGAAAGCCACGGCUAACUACGU
This 496-nucleotide ribosomal RNA is filed under the name uncultured bacterium. RNAcentral describes it as "partial 16S ribosomal RNA". It matches the Rfam family "Bacterial small subunit ribosomal RNA", at positions 28 to 506 of the family's 1533-position model. The record is from RNAcentral.